This is a long non-coding RNA of Elgaria multicarinata webbii, 216 nucleotides long. RefSeq lists it as uncharacterized. NCBI's taxonomy places the organism in Eukaryota, Metazoa, Chordata, Lepidosauria, Squamata, Anguidae. The transcript has 3 exons. The record is from RefSeq and is a predicted model, not a curated record.
CAGAUCCCAAACCAGCCAAUCACUUUCCAUAAAGCCCCUUUGAAAGAAUGCAAGAACAGCAAAGGAAAUGAUGCAAUGGGAUGUUCAUGGUGGACAUUCCUGAAUGAUAAGACUGCUCCGCCACACUCACUGAUCCAGUUCCCAAUGGUCAAAGCCACUGUGCGAGCCAUGGAUACCAUAACUGCUUUCCUACUGAAAGAAUCUGAGACAAAGAUG